Molecule: long non-coding RNA, 828 nt
Organism: Solea senegalensis (Senegalese sole)
Lineage: Eukaryota; Metazoa; Chordata; Actinopteri; Pleuronectiformes; Soleidae
Exons: 3
Source: RefSeq, a predicted model, not a curated record
UGUUCCAGAGUGAGAACACGUUCACAGCCCAGGCUACGAUGGAGAACAUUUUUCCAGAGGCAAGGAAACAAGUUGCAGAUUCAGUGGAGUUUAGGAUGCUGUAGAUCACUCCAGAAGAACUCAGCGUGCAGCCUGAUGCCUCUUUAUGAGGAUCUGUAAAUGUGUCAGGCAGCUGCAGGGGAAGAAGCCAACUCCUCUGGUCUCUGUAAUUGGUUUUACAUGCGAGGAAGAAGGCCUGGAUUCAUUUGGAACAAAAGACUUUAUCCUCAUCCUACAAAGUCCGCCCCAUUGUUCGACAUUUUCAUCUCGCGUACUCCCACGCUGGAGCGGAGACGCAGCCAAGAACUGACUCAUUUGAAUAAACAGUAGGUAAGUACAGGCGUUCGUGACUCAGUCGCCGAUGAUGCCUCACACGAACGCUCGCUGGCGUCUCAGAGGGGAGGAGGAUUGUCGGAAGCUGUGGGAGGACAGGACGAGCAAGUGUGAGGAAAACAGCCCAAAUAGCAAGAGGUGGGAAGCACACAGUGACAUAUCAUUCACAGACAGACUCCCACACACACUCAUCACGGCCUUUUAAUGUCGUUUUAUUUACGUAACAAGCUUCUAGCCCCCAGCCAAGUAUCUGAGUAAAUCCUUAACAAAAAUAGACAACUUGCUUUUUUCAGUUACAUCUUUCGGAUGUGACGCAAAAACUAUUUCCCAUCAUUGUUCUGUAUAAGGAGCUGUGCAGUGCUCUGUAUGCAUAGACCGUACAAGUGGUUUGUCUAUUUUUGAAGAUUUGAAAAAUGCACAGAUAAAAGCUGUGGUGCAGAGGUGUGGAACUUCAUC